UUAAUACUUCCUUCGUCUGAAAAUACUUGUCAUAAGAAUGGAUGUAUCUAGAUGUAUUUUAGUUUUAGAUACAUCUAUUUUUAUAUAUUUGUGCGACAAGUAAUUCCGGACGGAGGAAAUACCAA
RNAcentral lists this microRNA precursor (125 nucleotides) under Hordeum vulgare. RNAcentral's name for it is "microRNA MIR1122". It matches the Rfam family "MIR1120/MIR1122 microRNA precursor family". Lineage: Eukaryota; Viridiplantae; Streptophyta; Magnoliopsida; Poales; Poaceae. The record is from RNAcentral.